CCAACCCCCUCCCCAUGCCCGGUCUGGUCCUGUCCCCGCGGCCCGCGCAGCGGGCGCCGCCGCCCCCGCUGAGGAUCUCCUCCUCGGCCGCCUGGAGGCCACGUUGUGAAACGCCCUGGACUCAGCCCUCCCGCGCCCCCACGGACGGACCAGGACACCGAGGCCGAGAGCUCAGCCAGGAGCCCACGGGCGCCAGCUGCUUCUUGGGCACAGUGGCUCUUCCCGCCCUCGGCGCGCGGGGUCGGCCGGAAAAGAAGAGGCUCGGGUGUCACCUCCACCUUUGACAUAGAGCCAAGCAGCCUGGCCUUGCUGUGCCUCACUUUCCGCCCCCCCACCCACAGCAUGCGUCACUCACUCGUCUUAAACCUCCUGUUCGCCGCGUUGGUGGCCUUUGCAUGUGUCCACCGUGCGUCCUCAGCCUCCGCUCAAACCUGUCCGUGGCAUUGCCUUAGUCUCAGGUGACUUCCGAGGCUGUGGUGCCCAGGCCCUGCCCCCAACCCUGUCACCCAGGCCUCCCGAGGCCCUGGCCCGAGCUGUGCCCCCUGGACCGCCCUUCCCGGGUCCAGCCAUGCCCUCGGCCUCUCCAUUAGUGCUUUCUCACCCCGGUCUGCCUCAGCCUCAUGUUAACAGCUUUCUUUCCUUUUCUUCUUUGUAAGCGUUUUAUUCAAGAAUAACACGGAGACGUUGAAGAGCCUGAAUCCCGAGUGUGCAGCUCUCGAUACAUUUUCACAAAGUUAACACACCCACCUCUCCAGCACCCAGAUAAGAGGGAGGACAUCGCAGCCCCUCUCUCCCAGUGGAGCUCGCUUGCAGGCUCAGCGUUUUGAAUUGAUGAUUGAUGAUUACAGGAUAGGCCCCCUGCCUGUCAUGUAGCUGCUCAACAAGCUGCAGGGUCCAUGGCUUGCAUUAAUAGAGGUGUAGACUCCAGGAUGAAGGAGAUGAUUUCCCUCCUCAUUCUGGGCUGGUCAGAGCAGGCAGGCAGCUCCCCCUGCCACUUUGCAACGGGGCAGGCAGACGGCAGAGGGUUCAGGGAGGAUCACCGUGGUGUGUGUGUCUCUGUGUGUGUGUGUGCGUGUGCAUGUGCACACUUCUGAGUGGUGCCCUGGGAGAAAGCACUGGAGGCUUUAGGCGUUUGACCUGGAGACGGACAGCCCCGGGUCCCUGUCACCUGCUCCGGUGGCUGGAUGGCAGGGCAGGGUCUGAGGGAGGCACCGUCUCACCAGCCAGUUUCUAGGCUACGAGCAGGCUGCUUUGAAUGGUACUGAGCAUCCCGUCAGGACAGAGAGGCCCGCCCAAUGCAUCCUCGGCAGCAGGCUGGGCAGGACAGCAUGGUCCUGCCUCUUACCCGCCCCAGGCCUUGCAGAGAGGGACUGAGGAGAGCUGCAGGGGACAUGUGGCCAAGCUGAGACCUUUCUCGGGGGGAGAUGGAAGCCCAGAGCUGGACAGUGACCUCCCACGGUCAUUUGUCCCAAACUGGCUUUCCAGGCACAGGCCUGGCUUGGAGCUUGGGCUUUGGGUGGAGUUCAGGUUGGGUUAUAUCUGGCAUGGCCGUUCCCUCUCGCCGGCUGCAGCUGCCUGGGGUGGGGACGGUGGGGCAUGCUCCACCAGCCGCACUGGCAAGCGGCUGCAGGUGCUGGGCCGGCCAUUUACAUAGCCACGCUUGGCCUCCCCCGCCUGGCGGCCGGCCUGCCCCCUGGCCUCUCACCAGGAAAGGGCCAGGGCUUCUGAGCGCGGGAGCCGGCUCGGAGCCCUGUAAUCUUGGCGUAGUUUUAUUUCACUUCUGCGUUUCACUUUUACUGGUCUCGGCUGAAGGAUGCAUGUUAGUCAGCCCCGAGAGAAGUUAGUGUGUGCUGUGCCAGCUGGGGUGGGGGCGGGUGAGUGGGCAGACCCAGGUCUGAGUCCCAAGCCACUGCUGGGCGUGUGACCCCUGGAGCCACACUCCACCCCCUGAGCCUCCUGUGAUGUGCACGGGGUGCGGGAGGAGACCCGGGGCCUCGGUUUUGAUGCGGGCCUGCCUCUGUCCUGCUGUGUGGCCUCAGGCAAGUCCCUUCCCCUCUCUGGGCCUCAAUUCUCUCCUCUGUAAAAUGGAAUAACCACAGUCACAUCCUUGCAACGCUGUCUCUCUGAUCCGACACUGGCGCAGGGUCUGGCUGAGUGCUUGUCCAGCGGGCUGUUUCGGGCUGGGCGAGGUGAGGAGGCCUGAGGGUGGAGGGGCUGGAGCAGUUGUAUGUCCUUGAACUUGAGAAACCUGAGCUUGUGUAGGGAUUUCAUCAUGAGGCUGGACGAAAUGCAGAUUCCUGGGCCUGCCCGGGCAUCUGCGGGAGCCACGUCAGGCCCAGAAACUUCAGGGAAAUCUCUGGGGCCCGUGGGUGCGUUUGGUGUCAAGUCUGUGUUUCUCAGGACACGACCAGGGAAGGGCUGUGGAGAGGGGGAAACUGAGGCACAGAGGUGCAGCCAGUUCCCAGGGGGGCUCAGCAAGCCAGUGCUGCGCCAGGAUUGAGUGGGGUAGGCCCGAUCCAGACCGGUGCCCCAGCACGCGGCGGCCCUCGGCGGCUCUGCCCAGAGCCCGGGUGCUGCCUCCCAGGGCCGCGGGCUCCCCCCGGGAGUGGCUCGGGGCUGAGCCGGGUUUAUAUAGGGCCUCCCAAAAUAUCUGGCCGCCCAUAGGCCGAGGCUGGCGAGGGCGCGGCUGGCCAGCGCCGCGGCUUCCUGUCCUGCCAAGAUGUUUCCUGCCGAUAGCCGGGCCAGCGGCCUUAUCUGUGACCUCGGGCCGCUGUGAGGACAGCCCCCCUGCCAAGGGACAGGCUGUUCUGGCCCAGGCAGGGGCUGCAGGGACCCUGGAGGGUCAGGGCGAGCAGCCCACUGGGGGUGGGGGUCAUUUGGUCAACACAUGACUUUUAGGAAGGAGCACUGUGCUCAGAGUCCAGCUGCCCCAGAGUUGAGCUGCGGCUCUGGGGCCAAAUGGCUACCUGUCUCUGGGGAGCAGGGCCCCUCUCAAAGUGCCCCUCGCCCAUCAAGUGGGGACAGUGGCAUCUCCAUUUUCCUUCAACUCUCCCCACCCCUAGCCCCUCAAGGAGCCCCAGUCUGCAGGAGACGAGCUGGCCACGCAUGCCCCCAGCCCCGCAGCGCCAGGGCUUGGCUGGAGGGAAGGCAGAGGUGGGAGGAAUCCAGGUGUCUGUAUGGAGCAGCUGCCUGGAGAAGGGAUGUCACAGCUGGGGUUUAAUGGUUAUGUAGGAGCUCACCAGGCAGAACUCGUGGAGGGGAUGGCCAGGCUGAGGGAACAGUGUCUGUGAAUGCUUGGAGUCCAAGUGCCACUCUCAUUUCACAGAGAAAGACACUGAGGUUUUCAGAGGAGGUGAUGCCGUGGCUCUGAAACCUGGCUCUUUCUUCCCCUGUACCCACUGACGGGGACCUGAGCUCCUGGAAGGGGACAUGUACCCUCCCCAUUGUGACCCUGGGAUCUGGAGAACAAUUUUAAAUUUCAAAAUUGCUUUUAUUGCAGCCCAAACAGUGGAAUUAACUCUACGUAAUAAUGAGGUCACCGACCUCAACGGCUUCGCAAUGAACCGCGACCCUGAGAUGAGCUGUUCUCUUCCUGGAUGUGAGCAAACUGGAACUUUGUUAGUAGCUGAGCGCUGCCUCCGUGGCCCCGCGGUCGGAGGAUGUGGCCGCGCGACAGAGGGACUCGGAGGCACGCACCUCGGUGUCCGCAGCAGCAUGACUCCCAGGAGCCGGAAAGCAGACACGGCCGGAGGGUCCGCUGACAGGUGAUGGAUAAACCAACUGUGGUCCAUCCCGAGGGACUAGCACUCGGUCAUAACAAAGACCACAGCCCUGACACGCGCUUCACAGUGGACGAACCUCACGGCCUCACGCUGAGUGAGAGAAGCUGACACAGAAGGCCUCAUGUGAUCCCAUAGGGGAAAGGUCCAGAACAGGCAGAUCCACAGACAGA
RNAcentral lists this long non-coding RNA (3952 nucleotides) under Equus caballus (horse). RNAcentral describes it as "lncRNA (ENSECAG00000049581.1)". The record is from RNAcentral. Lineage: Eukaryota; Metazoa; Chordata; Mammalia; Perissodactyla; Equidae.